UGAAACUGAUCUCUCCGUGAAGAAGCGGGGAUGAAUCUAUAAGACGAGAAGACCCCAUGGAGCUUUAAACCCGACAGCACCCGCUUACUUUAUACCUAAUUAUAUGCCCGUUGCCUGUCUGCUCGGUUUUAGGUUGGGGUGACCACGGAGUACAAAAUAACCUCCAUGAAAAAGGGGAUAAAUACCCUUAUUAGAGAACAACACUUCCAAAAACUAACAAAUUAAUUUCUAAUGAUCCGACAUUCGAUCAACGAACCAAGUUACCCUGGGGAUAACAGCGCAAUCCACCCCGAGAGCUCCUAUCGACAGGUGGGUUUACGACCUCGAUGUUGGAUCAGGGUAUCCCAGUGGUGCAGCAGCUACCAACGGUUCGUUUGUUCAACGAUUAAAACCCU
Molecule: ribosomal RNA, 395 nt
Filed under: Boophis sp. 42 MV-2009
Lineage: Eukaryota; Metazoa; Chordata; Amphibia; Anura; Mantellidae
Description: partial 16S ribosomal RNA
Rfam family: Bacterial large subunit ribosomal RNA
Source: RNAcentral